RNAcentral lists this ribosomal RNA (231 nucleotides) under uncultured Candidatus Saccharibacteria bacterium. RNAcentral describes it as "partial 16S ribosomal RNA". It matches the Rfam family "Bacterial small subunit ribosomal RNA", at positions 93 to 339 of the family's 1533-position model. The record is from RNAcentral. Lineage: Bacteria; Candidatus Saccharimonadota.
GAGCGGCGAACGGCUGAGUAACGCGUGGGAAUUUGCCCCAAAGUGAGGAAUAACUGCCCGAAAGGGUGGCUAAUGCCGCAUAUGAUCUUCGGAUUAAAGGAUUUAUCCGCUUUGGGAGAAGCCCGCGUCGGAUUAGGUAGUUGGUGAGGUAAUGGCUCACCAAGCCGACGAUCCGUAGCUGGUCUGAGAGGAUGACCAGCCAGACUGGAACUGAGACACGGUCCAGACUCC